This 207-nucleotide ribosomal RNA is filed under the name Escherichia coli. Its description in RNAcentral is "partial 16S ribosomal RNA". It matches the Rfam family "Bacterial small subunit ribosomal RNA", at positions 1 to 215 of the family's 1533-position model. The record is from RNAcentral. Lineage: Bacteria; Pseudomonadati; Pseudomonadota; Gammaproteobacteria; Enterobacterales; Enterobacteriaceae. RNAcentral also lists the same sequence under 20 other names.
AAAUUGAAGAGUUUGAUCAUGGCUCAGAUUGAACGCUGGCGGCAGGCCUAACACAUGCAAGUCGAACGGUAACAGGAAACAGCUUGCUGUUUCGCUGACGAGUGGCGGACGGGUGAGUAAUGUCUGGGAAACUGCCUGAUGGAGGGGGAUAACUACUGGAAACGGUAGCUAAUACCGCAUAACGUCGCAAGACCAAAGAGGGGGACC